GUCCUCAGUUCGGACUGCAGUCUGCAACUCGACUGCACGAAGCUGGAAUCGCUAGUAAUCGCGGAUCAGCACGCCGCGGUGAAUACGUUCCCGGGCCUUGUACACACCGCCCGUCACACCAUGGAAGUCUGCAAUGCCCGAAGCCGGUGGCCUAACCACUUAUGUGGAAGGAGCCGUCUAAGGCAGGGCAGAUGACUGGGGUGAAGUCGUAACAAGGUACC
RNAcentral lists this ribosomal RNA (221 nucleotides) under uncultured bacterium. RNAcentral's name for it is "partial 16S ribosomal RNA". It matches the Rfam family "Bacterial small subunit ribosomal RNA", at positions 1284 to 1500 of the family's 1533-position model. The record is from RNAcentral.